AUGGUACAAUGUCAAACAAAAUCCCCAGCUCAAAUGCAACCAGGCACAGGCACCAGCAAAGUAGAGUAUAUAUAUGUAUAUCACUGUAGGUAUUCGUUCCAUGUUCAUAUAUCAUCCACGAAAUACACGUACGUAUUUAUACGCGGUAUACUACGAUCUCACAGUCGCGGAAGCGCGCUAAAGUACCCCGAAAAACCUGCCCCAGCCACUCCUCCUCGCCUCCUCCUCAGCGGCCGCUGCCGCCGGCGGCGGCGGCGCAGCCGGCGCCUCUCCGACGCCCCAGAUCCCCUCGAGAACCUGGGCCAGGCUCGCCGGGACGCCGUAGGUGUCGGCCUCGGGCGCGGCGAGCACGGAGUCGAACACCUCCUGGAGGCCGACGACGCGGCGGCUGACGGCGCGCCGCGCCUCCCGCACGGCCGGGUCGUGGCCCGGGACGGCGUCGAGGCGGAGCAGCACGGCCAUGAGCGCCUCCGAGAAGCGCGCGCGCUCGCGGUCGUCGCCGCGGACGGCGUCCACGGUCUCCUGCCGCCGGAGCAGCCGCUCGAGCCGCGUCGCCUCGGCGUCGGCGGCGCGCACGGCCGCCACGUGCCUCCGGACCCGGCGGCUGCGGAACGCCGCCUGGAUCCUGGCGGCCGCCGCGUCCUGAGGCGUGGUGACGGGGAUCCGGACGGUUCUGGCGGGCUUGCGCGCGGCGGGGCUGGGGCCGGGGCCGGGGUCGCCGGCGGCGAAGAAGAACUGCGAGGCGGAGCUGUAGUGGUAGGAGCCCAUGGCGGCCGCCCUGGGUCAGUAGAGCGAGGUGAGGUCCAGUGUGCUACGGAGGACAAUUUCGUGGGAUCUGUGGGUGCCGGGCGUCGCACAGACCCGCGGUCCGGUCCACGCCUGCGGCGUGUUUCUUUGGGGGCAGGGCGUGUUUUCCUCGUCUCUUUUUCGGUGGCUUUUGCCGCACCACUCUAG
This 954-nucleotide ribosomal RNA is filed under the name Triticum aestivum (bread wheat). RNAcentral's name for it is "partial small subunit ribosomal RNA". Lineage: Eukaryota; Viridiplantae; Streptophyta; Magnoliopsida; Poales; Poaceae. The record is from RNAcentral.